GCCAGGCGUGGUGGCACAUGCCUGUAAUCCAGCAGCUUGGGAGGCUGAGGCAGGUGGCUAGGGAGUUCAAAGCCAGCCUUGCUAAGCAACUCAGUGAGAUCCUGUCUCUA
RNAcentral lists this small RNA (110 nucleotides) under Marmota monax (woodchuck). The record is from RNAcentral. Lineage: Eukaryota; Metazoa; Chordata; Mammalia; Rodentia; Sciuridae.